AGAGUUUGAUCAUGGCUCAGGAUGAACGCUGGCGGCGUGCCUAAUACGUGCAAGUCGAGCGAACAGACGAGGAGCUUGCUCCUCUGACGUUAGCGGCGGACGGGUGAGUAACACGUGGAUAACCUACCUAUAAGACUGGGAUAACCUCGGGAAACCGGAGCUAAUACCGGAUAAUAUAUUGAACCGCAUGGUUCAAUAGUGAAAGACGGUUUUGCUGUCACUUAUAGAUGGAUCCGCGCCGCAUUAGCUAGUUGGUAAGGCAACGGCUUACCAAGGCAACGAUGCGUAGCCGACCUGAGAGGGUGAUCGGCCACACUGGAACUGAGACACGGUCCAGACUCCUACGGGAGGCAGCAGUAGGGAAUCUUCCGCAAUGGGCGAAAGCCUGACGGAGCAACGCCGCGUGAGUGAUGAAGGUCUUCGGAUCGUAAAACUCUGUUAUUAGGGAAGAACAAAUGUGUAAGUAACUAUGCACGUCUUGACGGUACCUAAUCAGAAAGCCACGGCUAACUACGUGCCAGCAGCCGCGGUAAUACGUAGGUGGCAAGCGUUAUCCGGAAUUAUUGGGCGUAAAGCGCGCGUAGGCGGUUUUUUAAGUCUGAUGUGAAAGCCCACGGCUCAACCGUGGAGGGUCAUUGGAAACUGGAAAACUUGAGUGCAGAAGAGGAAAGUGGAAUUCCAUGUGUAGCGGUGAAAUGCGCAGAGAUAUGGAGGAACACCGGUGGCGAAGGCGACUUUCUGGUCUGUAACUGACGCUGAUGUGCGAAAGCGUGGGGAUCAAACAGGAUUAGAUACCCUGGUAGUCCACGCCGUAAACGAUGAGUGCUAAGUGUUAGGGGGUUUCCGCCCCUUAGUGCUGCAGCUAACGCAUUAAGCACUCCGCCUGGGGAGUACGACCGCAAGGUUGAAACUCAAAGGAAUUGACGGGGGCCCGCACAAG
Molecule: ribosomal RNA, 940 nt
Filed under: Staphylococcus epidermidis
Lineage: Bacteria; Bacillati; Bacillota; Bacilli; Caryophanales; Staphylococcaceae
Description: bacterial SSU rRNA
Rfam family: Bacterial small subunit ribosomal RNA
Source: RNAcentral